CGGGACACGUGGUAUCCUGUCUGAAUAUGGGGGGACCAUCCUCCAAGGCUAAAUACUCCUGACUGACCGAUAGUGAACCAGUACCGUGAGGGAAAGGCGAAAAGAACCCCGGCGAGGGGAGUGAAAAAGAACCUGAAACCGUGUACGUACAAGCAGUGGGAGCCUCUUAAUGGGGUGACUGCGUACCUUUUGUAUAAUGGGUCAGCGACUUAUAUUCUGUAGCAAGGUUAACCGAAUAGGGGAGCCGAAGGGAAACCGAGUCUUAACUGGGCGUUAAGUUGCAGGGUAUAGACCCGAAACCCGGUGAUCUAGCCAUGGGCAGGUUGAAGGUUGGGUAACACUAACUGGAGGACCGAACCGACUAAUGUUGAAAAAUUAGCGGAUGACUUGUGGCUGGGGGUGAAAGGCCAAUCAAACCGGGAGAUAGCUGGUUCUCCCCGAAAGCUAUUUAGGUAGCGCCUCGUGAAUUCAUCUCCGGGGGUAGAGCACUGUUUCGGCAAGGGGGUCAUCCCGACUUACCAACCCGAUGCAAACUGCGAAUACCGGAGAAUGUUAUCACGGGAGACACACGGCGGGUGCUAACGUCCGUCGUGAAGAGGGAAACAACCCAGACCGCCAGCUAAGGUCCCAAAGUCAUGGUUAAGUGGGAAACGAUGUGGGAAGGCCCAGACAGCCAGGAUGUUGGCUUAGAAGCAGCCAUCAUUUAAAGAAAGCGUAAUAGCUCACUGGUCGAGUCGGCCUGCGCGGAAGAUGUAACGGGGCUAAACCAUGCACCGAAGCUGCGGCAGCGACGUUUAUGCGUUGUUGGGUAGGGGAGCGUUCUGUAAGCCUGCGAAGGUGUACUGUGAGGUAUGCUGGAGGUAUCAGAAGUGCGAAUGCUGACAUAAGUAACGAUAAAGCGGGUGAAAAGCCCGCUCGCCGGAAGACCAAGGGUUCCUGUCCAACGUUAAUCGGGGCAGGGUGAGUCGACCCCUAAGGCGAGGCCGAAAGGCGUAGUCGAUGGGAAACAGGUUAAUAUUCCUGUACUUGGUGUUACUGCGAAGGGGGGACGGAGAAGGCUAUGUUGGCCGGGCGACGGUUGUCCCGGUUUAAGCGUGUAGGCUGGUUUUCCAGGCAAAUCCGGAAAAUCAAGGCUGAGGCGUGAUGACGAGGCACUACGGUGCUGAAGCAACAAAUGCCCUGCUUCCAGGAAAAG
Molecule: ribosomal RNA, 1195 nt
Filed under: Escherichia coli
Lineage: Bacteria; Pseudomonadati; Pseudomonadota; Gammaproteobacteria; Enterobacterales; Enterobacteriaceae
Description: partial 23S ribosomal RNA
Rfam family: Bacterial large subunit ribosomal RNA
Source: RNAcentral